GCGGAUGUAACUCAGUUGGUAGAGUGUCAGCUUCCCAAGCUGAAUGUCGCGGGUUCGAUCCCCGUCAUCCGCU
This 73-nucleotide transfer RNA is filed under the name Ignavibacteria bacterium. Its description in RNAcentral is "tRNA-Gly". It matches the Rfam family "tRNA". From Rfam's summary of the family: Transfer RNA (tRNA) molecules are approximately 80 nucleotides in length. Lineage: Bacteria; Pseudomonadati; Ignavibacteriota; Ignavibacteria. The record is from RNAcentral. RNAcentral also lists the same sequence under 1 other name.